RNAcentral lists this ribosomal RNA (680 nucleotides) under uncultured bacterium. Its description in RNAcentral is "bacterial SSU rRNA". It matches the Rfam family "Bacterial small subunit ribosomal RNA", at positions 1 to 729 of the family's 1533-position model. The record is from RNAcentral.
CCCUUAGAGUUUGAUCCUGGCUCAGAGCGAACGCUGGCGGCAGGCCUAAAACAUGCAAGUCGAACGCCGUAGCAAUACGGAGUGGCAGACGGGUGAGUAACACGUGGGAACGUACCCUUUGGUUCGGAACAACACAGGGAAACUUGUGCUAAUACCGAAUAAGCCCUUACGGGGAAAGAUUUAUCGCCAGAGGAUCGGCCCGCGUCUGAUUAGCUAGUUGGUGGGGUAACGGCCCACCAAGGCUACGAUCAGUAGCUGGUCUGAGAGGAUGAUCAGCCACACUGGGACUGAGACACGGCCCAGACUCCUACGGGAGGCGGCAGUUAGGAAUCUUGGACAAUGGGCGCAAGCCUGAUCCAGCCAUGCCGCGUGAGUGAUGAAGGCCUUAGGGUUGUAAAGCUCUUUCAGCGGGGAAGAUAAUGACGGUACCCGCAGAAGAAGCCCCGGCUAACUUCGUGCCAGCAGCCGCGGUAAUACGAAGGGGGCUAGCGUUGCUCGGAAUCACUGGGCGUAAAGCGCACGUAGGCGGCUUUCUAAGUCAGGGGUGAAAUCCUGGAGCUCAACUCCAGAACUGCCUUUGAUACUGGGAAGCUCGAGUCCGGAAGAGGUGAGUGGAACUCCGAGUGUAGAGGUGAAAUUCGUAGAUAUUCGGAAGAACACCAGUGGCGAAGGCGGCUCAC